UACAAGCCAAAUUAAGGUGAAACCGCGAAAGGCUCAUUAAAUCAGUUAUGGUUCCUUAGAUCGUACCCACAUUUACUUGGAUAACUGUGGUAAUUCUAGAGCUAAUACAUGCAAACAGAGCCCCGACCGGAGACGGAAGGGGCGCUUUUAUUAGUUCAAAACCGAUCGGCGGCACUCGUGUCGUCGUAACUCAUGGUGACUCUGAAUAACUUUUUGCUGAUCGCACGGUCCAGCACCGGCGACGCAUCUUUCAAAUGUCUGCCUUAUCAACUUUCGAUGGUAGGUUCUGCGCCUACCAUGGUUGUAACGGGUAACGGGGAAUCAGGGUUCGAUUCCGGAGAGGGAGCCUGAGAAACGGCUACCACAUCCAAGGAAGGCAGCAGGCGCGCAAAUUACCCACUCCCGGCACGGGGAGGUAGUGACGAAAAAUAACGAUACGGGACUCAUCCGAGGCCCCGUAAUCGGAAUGAGUACACUCUAAACCCUUUAACGAGGAUCAAUUGGAGGGCAAGUCUGGUGCCAGCAGCCGCGGUAAUUCCAGCUCCAAUAGCGUAUAUUAAAGUUGUUGCGGUUAAAAAGCUCGUAGUCGAAUUUGUGUUUCGCGCCGCCGGUUCAUCGCUCGCGGUGUUCAACUGGCGUGUCGCGGAACGUCCUGCCGGUGGGACCGGGCGUUCGCGUCCGGCCCCAACUUUAAAUCCUGCCGCGGUGCUCUUCGCUGAGUGUCGAGGUAGGCCGGCACGUUUACUUUGAACAAAUUAGAGUGCUCAAAGCAGGCUAAAAUUUCGCCUGAAUAUUCUGUGCAUGGAAUAAUGGAAUAGGACCUCGGUUCUAUUUUGUUGGUUUUCGGAACCCCGAGGUAAUGAUUAAUAGGAACGGAUGGGGGCAUUCGUAUUGCGACGUUAGAGGUGAAAUUCUUGGAUCGUCGCAAGACGGACAGAAGCGAAAGCAUUUGCCAAAAACGUUUUCAUUGAUCAAGAACGAAAGUUAGAGGUUCGAAGGCGAUCAGAUACCGCCCUAGUUCUAACCAUAAACGAUGCCAGCUAGCGAUCCGCCGACGUUCCUCCGAUGACUCGGCGGGCAGCUUCCGGGAAACCAAAGCUUUUGGGUUCCGGGGGA
Molecule: ribosomal RNA, 1116 nt
Filed under: Cercyon indicus
Lineage: Eukaryota; Metazoa; Arthropoda; Insecta; Coleoptera; Hydrophilidae
Description: SSU rRNA
Rfam family: Eukaryotic small subunit ribosomal RNA
Source: RNAcentral